This 1400-nucleotide ribosomal RNA is filed under the name Mammaliicoccus lentus. Its description in RNAcentral is "bacterial SSU rRNA". It matches the Rfam family "Bacterial small subunit ribosomal RNA". The record is from RNAcentral. Lineage: Bacteria; Bacillati; Bacillota; Bacilli; Caryophanales; Staphylococcaceae.
AGUCGAGCGAACAGAUGAGAAGCUUGCUUCUCUGAUGUUAGCGGCGGAUGGGUGAGUAACACGUGGGUAACCUACCUAUAAGACUGGGAUAACUCCGGGAAACCGGGGCUAAUACCGGAUAAUAUUUUGAACCGCAUGGUUCAAUAGUGAAAGACGGUUUCGGCUGUCACUUAUAGAUGGACCCGCGCCGUAUUAGCUAGUUGGUAAGGUAACGGCUUACCAAGGCGACGAUACGUAGCCGACCUGAGAGGGUGAUCGGCCACACUGGAACUGAGACACGGUCCAGACUCCUACGGGAGGCAGCAGUAGGGAAUCUUCCGCAAUGGGCGAAAGCCUGACGGAGCAACGCCGCGUGAGUGAUGAAGGUCUUCGGAUCGUAAAACUCUGUUGUUAGGGAAGAACAAAUUUGUUAGUAACUGAACAAGUCUUGACGGUACCUAACCAGAAAGCCACGGCUAACUACGUGCCAGCAGCCGCGGUAAUACGUAGGUGGCAAGCGUUAUCCGGNAAUUAUUGGGCGUAAAGCGCGCGUAGGCGGUUUCUUAAGUCUGAUGUGAAAGCCCACGGCUCAACCGUGGAGGGUCAUUGGAAACUGGGAAACUUGAGUGCAGAAGAGGAGAGUGGAAUUCCAUGUGUAGCGGUGAAAUGCGCAGAGAUAUGGAGGAACACCAGUGGCGAAGGCGGCUCUCUGGUCUGUAACUGACGCUGAUGUGCGAAAGCGUGGGGAUCAAACAGGAUUAGAUACCCUGGUAGUCCACGCCGUAAACGAUGAGUGCUAAGUGUUAGGGGGUUUCCGCCCCUUAGUGCUGCAGCUAACGCAUUAAGCACUCCGCCUGGGGAGUACGACCGCAAGGUUGAAACUCAAAGGAAUUGACGGGGACCCGCACAAGCGGUGGAGCAUGUGGUUUAAUUCGAAGCAACGCGAAGAACCUUACCAAAUCUUGACAUCCUUUGACCGCUCUAGAGAUAGAGUCUUCCCCUUCGGGGGACAAAGUGACAGGUGGUGCAUGGUUGUCGUCAGCUCGUGUCGUGAGAUGUUGGGUUAAGUCCCGCAACGAGCGCAACCCUUAAGCUUAGUUGCCAUCAUUAAGUUGGGCACUCUAGGUUGACUGCCGGUGACAAACCGGAGGAAGGUGGGGAUGACGUCAAAUCAUCAUGCCCCUUAUGAUUUGGGCUACACACGUGCUACAAUGGAUAAUACAAAGGGCAGCGAAUCCGCGAGGCCAAGCAAAUCCCAUAAAAUUAUUCUCAGUUCGGAUUGUAGUCUGCAACUCGACUACAUGAAGCUGGAAUCGCUAGUAAUCGUAGAUCAGCAUGCUACGGUGAAUACGUUCCCGGGUCUUGUACACACCGCCCGUCACACCACGAGAGUUUGUAACACCCGAAGCCGGUGGAGUAAC